AAUGGUGCUCUCACAAAUGUAAGUUUUUCUUUGUCCUCAGAAGCUUUCUAUUUUUGUUUACUUCCCUUUGCUUUCCCUUUUUAAAGAUCUUGUUGAGCAGUACGGAGUGUCUAUUACCACUAUGAAGCCGAAAAAUCAUCUCAAGUUCGAGAUAAAUUUAAUUUUAGAUAACCAAAAUAAAUAAAGGUGAAUAAAAUCUUUUUAUUCGUGUGGGAACACUGUAAAAUGAAAUCUAGUAUACAUAAGAAUUAAAAUAAUCUGCUCCACAAAAUCUUGUUCUUUCCGUUUUCAGUGAGUUUAGAGUUAUGCACAUGUUCACUAUUGAAUUCAAAGGUGUACAAUACACAAGGUUUGUUUCCUAUCUAUCAAAAAUAUAUAAAAGUUUGCCUCCCAAUAACUUUACUACCUAAAAGCAUCAGCACAAUUCAAGUUUUUAUUAAUGAUUAUUGGAUAUCAACUUAGCAAUUUUUUUUUCUUUGUCAGGAUUUUGGUAACAGUAUAUGUAAGCUGUUACCGCUCUAGCUCAGUUUGUACCAGGAAAGUUCUGCUGCAAUUCUCUAUUGAAUAGACCGUUGCUAGAAUGUGGUCUGACAGCAAAGUGUAAGUGAAUAAACAUAGUUUCGCAGUUUUGUCUCUGACUGUAAACGUUAAGUUUAGAAUGAUGUAUAUCUUUGAUAUUAAUGACGUUUAAUAUUCUUUUCAGAAUAUAAAUUAUGUUGUGCUUAUCAUCAGACUUGCUGCAAAUGGGACGUACAACUCUGAUGGAACCCAAAGGUACAUGAUAAAAAAGUUGUUUAAGUAACACACAAGAGAGAUAUUGACAUUAUGGUCAUAGAUCAUACGGAAAGAUAUUAUUUUUCAUUGUUAGGAUUUUGACUAGGCUCAGUGCUCAUUUGGGAAGUGAAAAGUUUCGAAGGUCUCUUUGUUCAAGUCAAGAAGUGAAAGCUAUUGAACUAUGUAUGUAAUAGCUUGUAUUGUUUACUUUGGGUCCUAGGCUCCCUCGACUUUAAAAUGCCUCAUUUGGGUCUAAUGUCACUUCUUUUUAUUCCAACAAUCAAUAUCUUUCUUGCGUUUUGUUGAUGUGGUAUAUGCCUAGGAUGCUACAAUGUUGUUCUUUUUACUCUGGAUACCAAGACGGAAAGCAAGAGACGACACAAUUAUUGAACUUUCUGUAUUGAGAAAUCGGAAUUUCUGGACGCAAAUGGUUAGAGAAAACUGUAAAUGCAAUGUAAAAUGCAUAAGAAACAGGGGAGAUUUUGAGGAGUGAGAUUUGUUUGCGUAAUUUUUUUAUGUUGUUAUUACUGAUUAAAUGAUGUGUGUGUAUUUCAGUUCAUACUGCUUAAAAUUUCUUCAUUUGAGGAUGGCGCUCCUAACAAGAUUUUCUCCAUACCCAG
RNAcentral lists this long non-coding RNA (1394 nucleotides) under Solanum tuberosum (potato). RNAcentral's name for it is "long non-coding RNA (STUB_LNC010993)". Lineage: Eukaryota; Viridiplantae; Streptophyta; Magnoliopsida; Solanales; Solanaceae. The record is from RNAcentral.